CUCACACAACUGGAAGUCUAGGGCAAAGUUCCCACCAAGGUGGUGAACCUGUGUCUGGGUUGUAAGACUUCAGGUUGUAGGUGGAGGCCCAUACAAUUAAAUACGCCUUUGUUAAAAACAAACAGCCACAUUAGGAUGGACAUGUGCCCUACUUUACAGAAAAGAAGACAGUCCACUCUUUGAAGGUAUCCUUUAUUUGAAAGGCUGCCCAGCCCAAGUCCGGUUUAAAGAUAGACCCAUAAUUAGAAAAGGCAGGAGGGACCUUGAAGUUUCCCAUCAACAAUUAGCAACACCUGGUCAGCAGACUGAGCAGCCACACAAAUCACCUGAUCACAGUGUUCCCCACUAGGGUGGGAUGUAUUUUAUUUCUAAUUAAAGGAUGGCUGUCCUCUUCCACCAAACAUGCCACUUCAGGAGGGAUGCACAUGGAGCAGUGAGGGAGGAAGGAGACAUCUGCCUAGCCAGCCAGAUCAGCCGAAUCAACCCUGGCGAUCAAUGGAGUGACAGAUGUUGCAGCCAGAUUGCCCUCACAUCCAUAUUUCCCGCAUCCAGAGGCAAGGUGAAGUGGACACUCCAGGAGACCGAUUUUGUCUGUCACCAAGAACAGCAGAGGAAGACAGAACUGAGCCAUGGGGCACAAUCUACUGAGAAGUUCUCCUGCACAAAUGAAUUGGAACUGAACAAGAACACAGUCAUUUCACAGAAGCCAAGGCUAUCAGUGGCUCCUAGUCAAGAUAGUUAUAUGUUACCUCCAAUAUAAGAGGCAGCAUGUAUCUGAAUACCUCAAGCAGGAGAGGGCUAUUGCACUCAAUUUCUGCUUGUUGGGCUGCCUGAGAGGCAUGUGGUUAGCCACUGUGGAAAACAGGAUAUUGGACUAAAUGGGCCCUUUGGUCUGAUCCAGCAGAGCUCUUACACUCUUAUGUUCAAUGCGUCCAAUUCAUUUCAAUAAGACUUGU
Molecule: long non-coding RNA, 956 nt
Organism: Rhineura floridana
Lineage: Eukaryota; Metazoa; Chordata; Lepidosauria; Squamata; Rhineuridae
Exons: 3
Source: RefSeq, a predicted model, not a curated record